AUUGAACGCUGGCGGCAGGCCUAACACAUGCCAGUCGAGCGGAUGAAGGGAGCUUGCUCCUGGAUUCAGCGGCGGACGGGUGAGUAAUGCCUAGGAAUCUGCCUGGUAGUGGGGGAUAACGUCCGGAAACGGGCGCUAAUACCGCAUACGUCCUGAGGGAGAAAGUGGGGGAUCUUCGGACCUCACGCUAUCAGAUGAGCCUAGGUCGGAUAGCUAGUUGGUGGGGUAAAGGCCUACCAAGGCGACGAUCCGUAACUGGUCUGAGAGGAUGAUCAGUCACACUGGAACUGAGACACGGUCCAGACUCCUACGGGAGGCAGCAGUGGGGAAUAUUGGACAAUGGGCGAAAGCCUGAUCCAGCCAUGCCGCGUGUGUGAAGAAGGUCUUCGGAUUGUAAAGCACUUUAAGUUGGGAGGAAGGGCAGUAAGUUAAUACCUUGCUGUUUUGACGUUACCAACAGAAUAAGCACCGGCUAACUUCGUG
RNAcentral lists this ribosomal RNA (483 nucleotides) under uncultured bacterium. RNAcentral describes it as "partial 16S ribosomal RNA". It matches the Rfam family "Bacterial small subunit ribosomal RNA", at positions 30 to 507 of the family's 1533-position model. The record is from RNAcentral.